GACGAACGCUGGCGGCGUGCUUAACACAUGCAAGUCGAACGGAAAGGCCCUGCUUUUGUGGGGUGCUCGAGUGGCGAACGGGUGAGUAACACGUGAGUAACCUGCCCUUGACUUUGGGAUAACUUCAGGAAACUGGGGCUAAUACCGGAUAGGAGCUCCUGCUGCAUGGUGGGGGUUGGAAAGUUUCGGCGGUUGGGGAUGGACUCGCGGCUUAUCAGCUUGUUGGUGGGGUAGUGGCUUACCAAGGCUUUGACGGGUAGCCGGCCUGAGAGGGUGACCGGCCACAUUGGGACUGAGAUACGGCCCAGACUCCUACGGGAGGCAGAAGUGGGGAAUAUUGCACAAUGGGCGGAAGCCUGAUGCAGCAACGCCGCGUGCGGGAUGACGGCCUUCGGGUUGUAAACCGCUUUCGACUGUGACGAAGAGUGAGUGACGGUAAUGGGUAAAGAAGCACCGGCUAACUACGUG
This 468-nucleotide ribosomal RNA is filed under the name uncultured bacterium. Its description in RNAcentral is "partial 16S ribosomal RNA". It matches the Rfam family "Bacterial small subunit ribosomal RNA", at positions 28 to 507 of the family's 1533-position model. The record is from RNAcentral.